Molecule: ribosomal RNA, 512 nt
Filed under: uncultured bacterium
Lineage: Bacteria
Description: partial 16S ribosomal RNA
Rfam family: Bacterial small subunit ribosomal RNA
Source: RNAcentral
GACGAACGCUGGCGGCGUGCUUAACACAUGCAAGUCGAACGGAGAUUCAGCAAUGGAUCUUAGUGGCGAACGGGUGAGUAACGCGUAGGCAAUCUGCCUUCUAGAUGGGGACAACAUCCCGAAAGGGGUGCUAAUACCGAAUGUUGUAUGAUCUUCGCAUGGAGAUGAUACUAAAGGUGGCCUCUGAAUAUGCUACCGCUAGAAGAUGAGCCUGCGUCUGAUUAGCUAGUUGGAGGGGUAACGGCCCACCAAGGCUUCGAUCAGUAGCCGGUCUGAGAGGAUGAGCGGCCACACUGGGACUGAGACACGGCCCAGACUCCUAGGGGAGGCAGCAGUGGGGAAUCUUCCGCAAUGGACGAAAGUCUGACGGAGCAACGCCGCGUGAGUGAAGAAGGUUUUCGGAUCGUAAAGCUCUUUCGUUAGGGACGAACGUGCUCUUUGUGAAUAAUGAGGAGUAAUGACGGUACCUAAAUAAGAAGCCACGGCUAACUACGUGCCAGCAGCCGCCGUAA